CUACUGGAUAGGCUCGUCGGUCCCAAGUGGUCCUAAAGUGGUCUUAAUCUUCCUAUGAAGGUUCAUGCAUCUUCACAGGUUCAGAGGUUCACAAGGGAGGCUGUGAUGGAGGGGGCCUCGAUGGACCGUAACCUUAUCUCUUUUACAAUCUACUAGAACAAAUGAGCCUCACCAGCAGUUUACACUAAGCUGUUUUUAUUUACAUAAAAUAAAACAAGGUCUAUUCAAAAAGAAUAUUAGAUGUCAUUCUCUUUCUUAAGUGUCCUGUCAGCUCUCUGGUGCAAUCGCUCUAUGCGAAUGGAGUUCGGGCUUUUCUUCCUCAGAAGGAAGAGGCUUUAGUGACUUCAGCUCUGCCUCUGAUUCCGAAGAGUCUUAAAAUGUCUGCUAGCAAGCAUCUCCUUUUAUACUGUCACAGUGGCCGUUAGGGGAGGGCAUAGAAAAGCCCGGGAGAUUCAAAGCCAGAAGCUGCUCUCUGAUUGGCUUAUUUAAUUGUCUAAGCCAAAGGCCAUUAAUAGGCACAGCAACUGUGAGGGAAUUUUCUGUCACAGAGGCUACACUUAAUGAUCCACCUAGAGUAAAGGGUUUAGGAGCUGGGACAUUUACAUCUCAUUGACUCUCUGCAUACUUACCUAAUGAACCUGUCCAGAUUAGUACCAUGUAUUAGAACUUGGGGUCAUCCAAGGAAGCCAUGUGACUGAAAAUUCAGAAAACUGGUUCCUGCUGUUGGGGAACAUAAAAGAUGCCAUUGUCCUAAGUCAUCAUUCAUUGUGGGAAUAAAAUGCUGGACCAGAUAAACCUAGCAUAUAUCUUCUUAUUUUUUUAGCUGAUAUUGUACUACUGAUUUACUUAAUUUAUAAUCUAUUUAAUAAAAUCUCAAGCCC
Molecule: long non-coding RNA, 881 nt
Organism: Pantherophis guttatus
Lineage: Eukaryota; Metazoa; Chordata; Lepidosauria; Squamata; Colubridae
Source: RefSeq, a predicted model, not a curated record